UUUCUUUUUUAGUAAAUUAUUUUAAUAAAUUAAAAUUUUUAGUUAAUAAUUAAUUUUAUAUAUUAAUUGCAAAAUAGAAAGUAUUAAUUAGAUUGAAUUAUUUUUUAGUACCUUUUGUAUCAGGGUAAAUUUAUUUAUAAAAUUAUUAUUAUUCCCGAAUUUAAAAAAUUUAAUUUAAAAUUAUUUAAUUUGUUUUAUAACAUAUAUUUAUUUUAUUUUAGUAAUUAAAAGUUAAACGUUUUUAAUAUAUAUCUGGUUUCUUUAGAUUAAAUUUAAUUUUUAAUUAUUUAUUGUGCUAUAUUUUUAUUGUUUUAAUUAUAUUUUUUAAAGGAUAAACUUUAAUUUUUUUUACAAAUUUAUAUUUUAAUAUAUAAAUAAUCUUUUAAAUUUUGUAUUAAGUUUUUAAUAAAUUAAUGUAUUUUUAUAAAAUUUUAUUUUUUUUAAAAAUUUAUAAAGUUUAUUUAAAAAUUUUUUAAUUAUUUUUAAUAAUGAUUUUAUUAGUAUAAUUUAAAAUUAUAUUUAUUGAAUUCGACAAUUAUAAUUUUCAACUGUUUAUCAAAAACAUUUCUUUUAGUAAAUUUUUAAAAGUAAGUUCUGCCCAAUGAGUGUUUAAAUGGCUGCAGUAUUUUAACUGUACAAAGGUAGCAUAAUAAUUAGUCUUUUAAUUGAGGGCUUGUAUGAAUGAAUAAAUGAGAAAUUUAUUAUAAUUUUUAUAUUUUUAUAAUUUAAUUUUUUGGUAAAAAAGCUAAAUUGUUAAUUUAGGACGAAAAGACCCUACAAGAACUAUUUUUAAAUUUAUAAAUUUAUUUUUGAUUUUAAUUUUGAUUUUAAAUUUAAAUUUUAUUGGGGUGAUAAUUAAAUUUAAGCUUUAUUUUUUAAAUUCUUUAAUAAAAGAUAAUUUUGAUUUAAAAGUUUAAUUUAAGAUAAAGUUACCUUAGGGAUAACAGCGUUAUUUAAAUGGAGAGUUCUAAUUUAUAUUUAAGUUUGCGACCUCGAUGUUGAAUUAAGUUAAUAUUAAGGGGCAGUUUCUUUAAUUUUAAGUCUGUUCGACUUUUAAAAACUUACAUGAUUUGAGUUCAAACCGGUGUGAGCCAGGUUGGUUUCUAUCCUAAUUUUAUAUUUUAUUUUAGUACGAAAGGACCAAAUAAAUCAUUAUUAAUGUUAUUUU
This 1168-nucleotide ribosomal RNA is filed under the name Cassianeura bimaculata. Its description in RNAcentral is "16S ribosomal RNA". The stretch from base 940 to 1098 matches the Rfam family "Archaeal large subunit ribosomal RNA", at positions 2544 to 2703 of the family's 2987-position model. Lineage: Eukaryota; Metazoa; Arthropoda; Insecta; Hemiptera; Cicadellidae. The record is from RNAcentral.